RNAcentral lists this ribosomal RNA (504 nucleotides) under uncultured Pseudomonas sp. RNAcentral's name for it is "bacterial SSU rRNA". It matches the Rfam family "Bacterial small subunit ribosomal RNA", at positions 30 to 523 of the family's 1533-position model. The record is from RNAcentral. Lineage: Bacteria; Pseudomonadati; Pseudomonadota; Gammaproteobacteria; Pseudomonadales; Pseudomonadaceae.
AUUGAACGCUGGCGGCAGGCCUAACACAUGCAAGUCGAGCGGUAGAGAGAAGCUUGCUUCUCUUGAGAGCGGCGGACGGGUGAGUAAUGCCUAGGAAUCUGCCUGGUAGUGGGGGAUAACGUUCGGAAACGGACGCUAAUACCGCAUACGUCCUACGGGAGAAAGCAGGGGACCUUCGGGCCUUGCGCUAUCAGAUGAGCCUAGGUCGGAUUAGCUAGUUGGUGGGGGUAAUGGGCUCACCAAGGCGACGAUCCGUAACUGGUCUGAGAGGAUGAUCAGUCACACUGGAACUGAGACACGGUCCAGACUCCUACGGGAGGCAGCAGUGGGGGAAUAUUGGACAAUGGGCGAAAGCCUGAUCCAGCCAUGCCGCGUGUGUGAAGAAGGUCUUCGGAUUGUAAAGCACUUUAAGUUGGGAGGAAGGGCAGUAAAUUAAUACUUUGCUGUUUUGACGUUACCGACAGAAUAAGCACCGGCUAACUCUGUGCCCAGCAGCCGCGUAAA